CCGCGCAAAGGUAGCGUAAUCACUUGUCUUCUAAAUAAAGACUAGUAUGAACGGCCACACGAAGACUUGACUGUCUCCCUAGUCCAAUCAGUGAAACUAAUCUCCUCGUGCAGAAGCGAGAAUACACCCAUUAGACGAGAAGACCCUAUGGAGCUUUAAACUCAAUAUUAAUUAUAUUUAACUCUUCUCUAAGGAACUAACAACUUUUUAAACUUAAUAUUAGUUUUAGGUUGGGGCGACCAUGGAGAAAAAAAUAUCCUCCCUGAUGAUUUUCUAACCAAGAGCUACAGCUCUAAGUAUUAAGACCCUUAACUCCCAUUGACCCAUUUUAUGAUCAACGAACCAAGUUACCCUAGGGAUAACAGCGCAAUCCAUUUCAAGAGUUCCUAUCGACAAAUGGGUU
RNAcentral lists this ribosomal RNA (403 nucleotides) under Xenophrys mangshanensis (Mangshan horned toad). RNAcentral describes it as "partial 16S ribosomal RNA". It matches the Rfam family "Bacterial large subunit ribosomal RNA", at positions 1946 to 2518 of the family's 2925-position model. The record is from RNAcentral. Lineage: Eukaryota; Metazoa; Chordata; Amphibia; Anura; Megophryidae.